This 761-nucleotide ribosomal RNA is filed under the name Prevotella melaninogenica. RNAcentral describes it as "bacterial SSU rRNA". It matches the Rfam family "Bacterial small subunit ribosomal RNA", at positions 28 to 776 of the family's 1533-position model. The record is from RNAcentral. Lineage: Bacteria; Pseudomonadati; Bacteroidota; Bacteroidia; Bacteroidales; Prevotellaceae.
GAUGAACGCUAGCUACAGGCUUAACACAUGCAAGUCGAGGGGAAACGGCAUUGAGUGCUUGCACUCUUUGGACGUCGACCGGCGCACGGGUGAGUAACGCGUAUCCAACCUUCCCAUUACUGUGGGAUAACCUGCCGAAAGGUAGACUAAUACCGCAUAGUCUUCGAUGACGGCAUCAGAUUUGAAGUAAAGAUUUAUCGGUAAUGGAUGGGGAUGCGUCUGAUUAGCUUGUUGGCGGGGUAACGGCCCACCAAGGCGACGAUCAGUAGGGGUUCUGAGAGGAAGGUCCCCCACAUUGGAACUGAGACACGGUCCAAACUCCUACGGGAGGCAGCAGUGAGGAAUAUUGGUCAAUGGACGGAAGUCUGAACCAGCCAAGUAGCGUGCAGGAUGACGGCCCUAUGGGUUGUAAACUGCUUUUGUAUGGGGAUAAAGUUAGGGACGUGUCCCUAUUUGCAGGUACCAUACGAAUAAGGACCGGCUAAUUCCGUGCCAGCAGCCGCGGUAAUACGGAAGGUCCAGGCGUUAUCCGGAUUUAUUGGGUUUAAAGGGAGCGUAGGCUGGAGAUUAAGUGUGUUGUGAAAUGUAGACGCUCAACGUCUGACUUGCAGCGCAUACUGGUUUCCUUGAGUACGCACAACGUUGGCGGAAUUCGUCGUGUAGCGGUGAAAUGCUUAGAUAUGACGAAGAACUCCGAUUGCGAAGGCAGCUGACGGGAGCGCAACUGACGCUUAAGCUCGAAGGUGCGGGUGUCAAACAUG